Long non-coding RNA from Equus caballus (horse), 1586 nucleotides. NCBI's taxonomy places the organism in Eukaryota, Metazoa, Chordata, Mammalia, Perissodactyla, Equidae. The record is from Ensembl.
AUCUGAAAAUGAUCCUACAACUUAACUGAUAGUAUAAUACUAUAGGAAAAUGUUGUGUUGCAUAAGACAUGCGAAGGGACAUCAUUAACGUUCACAGAGCUGAGAGGAAGAGAGCUUUCCUCCUAUUUUCCCCAGUUAGAUCAGGAGCUGAUUUCUCACCAGGAACCUUGGAGGCCAGAGGGCAUGGGCUGACGUACUCAAAGUGCAGAAGGAAAAAAGAAUCCAACCAAGAAUCCUAUAUCUGGCAGAACUGUCCUUAAAACAUGAGGGAGGAAUUAAGACAUUCCCAUAGAAACCACGGCUGAGAGAGUGCUGUACACCAGACCUGCCUCCAGCAAGGGGAGUCCUUCAGGCUGAAAGGAAACCACAGGGGAGCGUAACUUGACACCUUAUGCAGAAAUAAAGGUCUCUGGUCCAAAAAAAACUGAACAAAAACACAAAAGUGAGUGAAUUUGGAUACCCGCACUCCUGGCUCCUGCUAAGUGGCAGGUGGGGAGCAGGCACGUGACGCACCGUGGCUUCUGUGAGGUCAGCUCAGAGAGGCUGGACAGACCAUCCUCCUCUCACAGCCACACUGCAGAGCUGGUCCGAUCAGAUCUGUGGUCACGAUCACGGCACCCCUUCUCUGGGUGAGAGCCCCAUCAGAGCAUGUGAUCAAAGCCAUGGACCCCACGCCAGAAAAAAGCACACACUCCACUGCAAGUCUCGCCAUGGAGAGUCCUGUGCACUCGCCACAGAGCAAUGUCCAGCAAUUGAGACAGCUGGCCCUGACUGUCCCAGCUUUGGGGCGAGGUCUGUGGUAGGAAUGGCCAGUAGCUGUACCUGGACUCUGUGAUUUCUACGAUGGAAGGAAUGACACUCCUGCCAGGUUCAGGCCUAACCUUGAAAAAGACUGGCAAGUGGCACUUUCUCUCUCUUAGGAACCAGCCAUGACGCUGUGAAGAAGCCCACGUGGCCACAUGGCAGAGGACCAAGGCCCCUGGCCAUCAGCCCCGCUGAGCUCCCAUCUUGUCAGCCAGCACCAACUUGCCAGCAUUGUGAGCAAGGCUUCAGCUGAUGUCACAGAGGGCGGAGAGGAGCUGUCCCCCUGGGCCCAGCCCAAACUGAAAUCGCGAGUGAACAAAUGAUGAUUCUCAUUUUAAAGCACUAACAUUGUGGGUGGUUUGGUACACAACGACAGACAACCACAACACCCCUCCCCACUUGCUCCAUGCAGGCUCCAGUUCCUCACAGGGCCCGAAGCCCCCGUUACUGAGUGAAUGUUUGUGUCCUCCCCAAAUUCCUCUGUUGAAACCCUAACCCCCAGGGUGGCUGUAGCUGGAGACGGGGCCUGUGAGCAGGUGCUAGGGGCUAAAUGAGGCCAUGAGGGUGGGGCCCUAGCUCGGUAGGACCAGUGCCCUGACAAGAAGAAGGGACAAGAGCAUGAUCUCUCCACCACGUGAGGCCCUGGGGAGAAGGCGCCAGCCAGGAGGAGGGGUCCCCCCAGGAACCCGCCCUGCCAGAUGCUGAUCUGGGGCCUGCAGCCUCCAGAACUGUAGGAAAAUGAACUUCUGUUGUUCACGCGGCCGUCUAUGGCACUCUAUUGU